This 134-nucleotide small nucleolar RNA is filed under the name Carlito syrichta (Philippine tarsier). RNAcentral's name for it is "Small nucleolar RNA SNORA1 (ENSTSYG00000019911.2)". It matches the Rfam family "Small nucleolar RNA SNORA1". From Rfam's summary of the family: ACA1 is a member of the H/ACA class of snoRNA that guide the sites of modification of uridines to pseudouridines. Lineage: Eukaryota; Metazoa; Chordata; Mammalia; Primates; Tarsiidae. The record is from Rfam by way of RNAcentral.
AGUCUCAUUCUAGGUGAAAAGGUACACUGUUGAUCAUGGUGUCAGAAAACUGUUAAAGUGGCUAAAUUGAGACACAGGUAAUGAUCCCAUCACAGAUGUGCAUUGCAGUGGUGACAAUGAAAUCUGUAAUUUUU